GGGUCGUUAGCUCAGUUGGUAGAGCAGUUGACUUUUAAUCAAUUGGUC
Molecule: transfer RNA, 48 nt
Filed under: Yersinia pestis PY-29
Lineage: Bacteria; Pseudomonadati; Pseudomonadota; Gammaproteobacteria; Enterobacterales; Yersiniaceae
Also listed under: 20 other names
Description: partial tRNA-OTHER
Rfam family: tRNA
About the family: Transfer RNA (tRNA) molecules are approximately 80 nucleotides in length. Their secondary structure includes four short double-helical elements and three loops (D, anti-codon, and T loops).
Source: RNAcentral